UACGUAGGGUGCGAGCGUUAUUCGGAUUCACUGGGCGUAAAGGGUGCGCAGGCGGCCGGGUGUGUCAGAUGUGAAAUCCCGAGGCUCAACCUCGGAACUGCGUCUGAAACUACUCGGCUAGAGUACUGGAGAGGGUAACGGAAUUCACGGUGUAGCAGUGAAAUGCGUAGAUAUCGUGAGGAACACCAGAGGCGAAGGCGGUUACCUGGACAGUUACUGACGCUCAGGCACGAAAGCAUGGGGAGCAAAAGGG
This 253-nucleotide ribosomal RNA is filed under the name uncultured bacterium. Its description in RNAcentral is "partial 16S ribosomal RNA". It matches the Rfam family "Bacterial small subunit ribosomal RNA", at positions 524 to 776 of the family's 1533-position model. The record is from RNAcentral.